UUUUUUUUUUUUUUUUACUGUUGCAUAUCCGGCCAGUUUUUGGCUGGAUUUCCGGCCGGAUUUUGGCUAGAGAGCUCGAAAAUAUUUUUCUUUCUCCCCUGACUAUCCGGCCUUCAAUCCGGCUAAUAUUUGGUCGGAUUUGCUGCAGAAAAAGCUGUUUUCUGCAGUUUUUCCUCCAAAUUUGCUUGGCCAACCUUCCGUAUUCCACCUACUUUCAUGUUCUUUGAAUAAAAUUCAAGUUUAACAUGAUCAUGCAUGAAUAUAACUUAAACAUGAAACACUUUAAAUGCAUGAAAUGCGGCAAAUGAACAUGAAAACUCCCUUUUUGCCUCAAUAUAAACACCUUUGCAAUUGAGAUCAUUUGCAUGAACUCUUGCCAUUGCCACCUAUAAAAUACACAAAAACAUUAAUCGAACAACUAAGAUUUACUAAAAACAAGCCAACAUGAAGAAAAGUCGAGUUGAAAAGUGAUCCAAGCCUUCGUAUUUGAAAGGAUCCGAGGUCAGAUCAUGAUGAUUGAGCUCGGAUCAAGAAGCUCGAAAUUUUUCUCUGAUUGCAGAAGUGGAUCCGAGCUCGGAUCCAUUGAAUUUGCACGUAUUGCAGAAUUUUUGCAAUUUUUAGUUUGACCCCAAUUAUUCAAAAUACACCCUAGAUCAUUUCUAUGUCAAAAUAAACCAUUUACGCACAUGUAAAAUGAUCUAAACAUGCAUUCUAAACCUCUUUAAUGCAUCAAAAACCACAAUUACUGAAUUUGAGGUAUUGAGAUCUUUGAUCAAACUUCGUCUUUUUCACCUCAUUUGGUCACUUUUUCAAAACCUACAAAUGAAAAACAACAAAAUUACUCAAACUUAUACUUUAAACAUAAAAUCACUCCAAAGUAACAGCAACUUAAACAAACAUUGGGUUGCCUCCCAAUAAGCGCUUCUUUAAAGUCAAUAGCUUGACUAUUUCUCCUCAUUUUUUAAGGAGGUUUAGUUAACGAAUAAUCCACCAUUUUAGGCCGUGGUGGAUCAUUAAAUGGUGACUUUAUAGCCAAAGCCACAUGAUCUAAUGAUGUGAGAAAUGAAAGUGACUUACCUAUCCCAAGUGUUUCAUAGAUAUUACCACGAAUAUGCACCACUUGAGAACUUACCAAAGGAAAUGUCAUGAGAGUAUCUUGGGCAGGAAUACCUUUAGAACCUAUACUUUCACUGCACUCCUCAAGAGGGGUGAAAAAUGAGUCAUUAAAACUCACAUCUUGAGGCUCAAAGUUAGUUUCAAAGGUAUUAUCAUGUGAAAUGGAUAUUUGCUCAUUGAAAUAUAAUUGAGAUUCAUCAUUUUCAUCCAAAUGCAAUCCAUUUUCACAUACAACAUUUCCACCAUUCAUGCUAGGAUCAUUUUGCAAAUUAUUAGAAGAAAUAACUUCACACAAUACAUUCAAUUGCUCAUGUAUUCUACCAAAGUGAGAAGCUAAUUCAUCUAUUCUUUCCUCAAUCCUAUCAAAAUGGUCGGAAGUUGCAUUUGCUAGCUUUUCUAUUGCUGAAUCAAAUUGAUUAGAAUAAUUUUCUACAGCUAGCUCCCAAGAUGCAUUAGAAUCAUUAGCUAAUGGUUCAUUCUCUAAUUCCCAAGGCAGAGGUGCAUUAGCUAACCUUUCUAUUGCCAACUCCCAAGAUGGUUUUGAUUCAUAUUGGACACUUUCCGGUUGGUAAUCAUAAAAAUAUGAAUAAUCACUAUAAGUACAUUGACUUUCCCAACCAUACGCAGGAGAAUUGCUCCAAUUAGCACUAUAUUGAUCACAACAGGGGUUGUAAUGCUCUAAUUCAUCAUAAUAAUCCACAUUUUGUGCUUGUAUACAUGUAUUAGUAGCAUGAUAACUUCCACACAAGUCACAAAUCACAUGAUAAGAAUUAAAAGCAUUAGCAUUACUCCCUUGCUCAAUUUCAUGCAUAAUUGUGUCCAGUUGAACUUGUAACAUCAUAAUAUCAAAUUUAGUCUUUAAGCACCUUAUACCAUCUUCAAAAGACAUACAUUCAGCAAAUUCUUGGUUACCUCUGUUGAAGGAGCUUUGCACUUGAUAACCAUCCAUUGCCAUUCUUCCACUUCUCAAGCAUUGUCCUCCAAAUUGACCUACCCUUCUCAUCACCUAAAAUUGCUUUUAAACAACCUCAAAAGCAAAAUUAGUAAGAAAAAUAGGUAAUGAAACACAUACACACAUAAAACACAAAAAUAAUAGAAAAUAACAUUCACAUUAUAACUAAUAUUAUGUCUAAACUAAUAAAGUUGCUCUUCACACCGAAUACUACAUAUCGGGUAAACUAGUAGUUUAGGGUAUAUAUCGGGUCGAUCCCAUGAGGAAGAGUGAACAAUUACCGAUAUUACUAAAGCUUCUCUAUUAUUUAGACUAUCAAUGAAUUAUAACAAAUUUAACCUACUGAAAUUACACAAAUAAAAGCUCCUUAGGUUAUGGUAUCCCUAACUACUCAUGCAAGUGCUAUAUUUGGAUCAUUGAAUACUACAUGUAGGCUAGUUAUGGUGUAAUUUCCUUAUGCAUUUGAAUCCUACUUUCGUAGUGAAUCAAUUAUACUUAUAACUAAUCCAUACCUAUUCUCAUGGUUAUGAAAUUAGCUACAAGUUCAUUUCUUCAGUGAAAUUACAUGAAAUGAAUCACUAAAAACUACAUAGGUGCACCUCUACUUUCGUGAGUGUACUUCCUAUGUUUAGCACUUCUUGAACUAGUGAUAAAUCUCAAUUUUCAUUGCAGAAACAACACCUUAGAUAAUCACAAUCAAUCAUACCAGAUUAAUCAUGAUUUAGAGAGCCAAAGUACUAAAUAACUUGCUCAAAUCAUAGCAAUCAAAUAACUAAAUAAUAAACACUAACAAUUAUAGAAAGUUCAACCAAACCCAAGGUAUAAACUUUAGAGAUGCAUAAUAAACACAAAAUCCAGAACUUGUAUAUUAACUAAACUUGGAAUCAAGUACAAAAGAUAAAGAGUUUGGAAGGAAUACAACCCUUGUCACAUGAGCUUUCUUCCUUGCCUUCUUCAUCCUAAUCUAGAUAAUAAACAAGAAUGGACAAACUAUACUACUCUAUACUAAGCUAAACUAACACUAGGGAGAUGAAAGAGCUACAUUUCUGCAACUUCAAGCUUCUCCCGUAUCUCUCUCUAUUGUAUUGUUGGAUCCCCAAUCCCUCUUGCAAUCUUGGCUAUUUUAUGAUGAAAGAUGGUCAAGAAAUGAGGCCUCCACCUUCCUUUUACAGCUGGAGAUGUUUCUCACAUGUCUAGCAUCGCAUGUGAGUUGGUGGGAGUGAAAUUGAGUUUUACGCGUACAGAGCAGCCUUUUCUGACCACAAUCCGGCCAGAAAUCCGGCUCUAAAUCCGGCCAAGUUCAGGCCGGAUUGCUACAGUAAAUCUGGACUGCUUCAGUGAUCCGAUCUGCUACAGUACCUCGGAUCCUUAUAGAUCCGAGCCCGGUUCCACUUACCCAGAAACAGCCGAGGGUUCGGAUGAAUAGUGGAUCCGAGUGCGGAUCACUUGCUCUAUUUUUGGCCCAACUUCAACCGAUCGUUUCUUGAUGUUAGAGGCUAAACCAGCUCAUGUCUAAAACACAAACGUUGUAGCUUUUUGAGUUAUUUUUCCAAUGCAUCAAGAAUCACCUCAUUUGGAUCUGUGUAGGCUGAGAUCUGACCGAAAUACCCUUGCCUGCUCAUUGCCCUGUUUCAGCUUCGACCAAAUGAAAUUGGCUACUGUACUUCGGCUUUUUGACUUGGAAAACCUUCAAACUGGAUUCAGAUGUCUUCACCAAAGUUGUAGAUCUAUCUCUUAUCUUAAAAUUGGUUUAAGAAUCAUCUCAAUCCGGUCAUUGUAGCUCAAGUUAUAGCCAAAAUACGAAGAUGUGUCAAAACUGUCAAAAUGCGCAAAAUUCCACUAAAAAGUGAUAAAAGCCUCAUUUAAUCACUUAAAAGCAUUUUUCACCAAUUAUAGCCAAAAUGAUUCAUUUUCUUCCAAUAAUAUAACUAAAGUGACUAAAAAUAAUAUGAAAUAUCAUACAAUUAUUACGUAAAUUAGUCACUUAUCAAAUGUAAAAUUAAAGUAUAAUUGUAUUAAACUAUAUACUGCAUAUUGAUAGGAUUUUUUUAGGCCAUGUAGAAAAGAAUAUCUUUUCUCCAUUUUCAAGUUGAAUUGAUUAUCAAACACAUUUAACUUUAAAAACUGAGUAAGUUAAGAUUGUGCACUUAGAAUUUCAAUCUUCACAUUUCAUACUUUAGUUUUCAGUUUUACCAACCCCUAAACAAUUAUGAAUUAGUUAGGUUCUUUCCUCCUCUGAAUUCCAUGCGUUCUUUUCCUUUUAAAUUCCCUUAAAGAAGGGUUAUCACAAGCAAAAUAAACAUGUAAAUAAAUAAAAGAAUUAUGUAUAAAUAUAAAAAAUGUUGAAUUGAAAAUGAAUUAGUUUUCAGCAAUUCAAGAAAUGCUUGUGCAACUCAGUUUGUGAUGCUAGAAUUGAAAAUGAUAACUCUUAAUUAUUAGAAGAUUUUUGCCUUGGAAUGUUAGUAUAUUUCUGUGUUUGAACAUGACCCCAAACACUGUUUGAGCUGGACUUUUUUUUUAAAAAAAAAAUUUCCUAAGCAUUUUUUCGUCCUUAAUUUGUAUGUUUUGCAAAUUUAUAGGCAUUCAUUUUUUUAAAAAAUCAAUUUAAGACUUGGUACAGUGGUCAAAAAUAUAACUUGACCACUCUACCCCCCUUAAGAUGGUGCGUAAAAGUUGGACGACCAAGUUGACCCAAUAGUAAGAGUCAAAGGGCAACAAUGUCUCAAAUUGAAAUUAAAUGACAAAAAGUGGUUCAAAAAAAAGUUAGAGGACUAUUUGGGUGAUUUGUUUUGAAAAAACAAAGAUCAUCAUCAAAUUACCUUUAAUCCAUUGAAAAAUUGGCCUAAUAAGAAAAUUAACAAGCUCUGAUUUCAUCCGCUUUGAAACUAAUCUAAAUGGUUGUUCAAACUAGUAUACUGUAGUUUGUGAGUUGUUCAUGCAAGACAGCGCAAAGCACAAUAUUUAUCCUCCAACAUUUUAUUUAGUUUGGGAAUUCAUAACCCAUAGUUAUACAUAACUGGCAAACAACCAGGAUUACAUUUCAUCUCUCAGCAGGUAACGAGAGGAACUUAUUCAUGAUUAGAUGGCUGGGAACUUAUUCAUGGACUUUUUACCAUAAGCCAGAACAUCAGAGUUAAAAUAAGGCCUGAUUUUUUCACUGGAAAAAAGGCAUUCGUAUUUGCCCUCAAGCACCAUGAUCCCUCCAAAUUUGGGG
Molecule: long non-coding RNA, 5282 nt
Filed under: Coffea arabica (coffee)
Lineage: Eukaryota; Viridiplantae; Streptophyta; Magnoliopsida; Gentianales; Rubiaceae
Description: long non-coding RNA (CARA_LNC003349)
Source: RNAcentral